GAUGAACGCUGGCGGCGUGCUUAACACAUGCAAGUCGAACGAAGCAAUGCAGCGGAAGCCUUCGGGUGGAAGAUGUAUUGACUGAGUGGCGGACGGGUGAGUAACGCGUGGGUAACCUGCCUUGCACAGGGGGAUAACAGUUAGAAAUGACUGCUAAUACCGCAUAACCCGCUAGUACCGCAUGGUACAGACGGAAAAGAUUUAUCGGUGUAAGAUGGACCCGCGUCUGAUUAGCUAGUUGGUAGGGUAACGGCCUACCAAGGCGACGAUCAGUAGCCGGCUUGAGAGAGUGAUCGGCCACAUUGGGACUGAGACACGGCCCAA
Molecule: ribosomal RNA, 324 nt
Filed under: uncultured bacterium
Lineage: Bacteria
Description: bacterial SSU rRNA
Rfam family: Bacterial small subunit ribosomal RNA
Source: RNAcentral